Molecule: ribosomal RNA, 465 nt
Filed under: uncultured bacterium
Lineage: Bacteria
Description: partial 16S ribosomal RNA
Rfam family: Bacterial small subunit ribosomal RNA
Source: RNAcentral
CUACGGGUCGCUGCAGUGAGGAAUUUUGCGCAAUGGGGGAAACCCUGACGCAGCAACGCCGCGUGAGUGAAGAAGGCCCUUGGGUCGUAAAGCUCUGUCAAUGGGGAAGAAGUUACUUGGUAUUAAUAGUGCCUUGUAUUGACGGUACCCAUGAAGGAAGCACCGGCUAACUCCGUGCCAGCAGCCGCGGUAAUACGGGGGGUGCAAGCGUUAUUCGGAAUUAUUGGGCGUAAAGGGCACGCAGGCGGUCCUGUCAGUCAGAUGUGAAAGCCCGGGGCUCAACCCCGGACGUGCAUUUGAAACAGCAGGACUUGAGUACGGGAGAGGAAAGGGGAAUUCCUGGUGUAGAGGUGAAAUUCGUAGAUAUCAGGAGGAACACCGGUGGCGAAGGCGCCUUUCUGGACCGAUACUGACGCUGAGGUGCGAAGGCGUGGGUAGCGAACGGGAUUAGAUACCCCCGUAGUC